RNAcentral lists this long non-coding RNA (850 nucleotides) under Homo sapiens (human). RNAcentral's name for it is "HSALNT0316106". The record is from RNAcentral. Lineage: Eukaryota; Metazoa; Chordata; Mammalia; Primates; Hominidae.
UAUUGGUAUUUUGUAAACUUCAUCCUUUGUCUGUCAGUAAAGUUAAUUUUUAUCAAAUCAUUUAUCUAGAACUAAUGAGAGACUGCAAGAGCCCUCCAGUGGCCAAGCUAAUUUCUGCAAAAAUACCAUCAUCAGAAUGAAAAAGGAAUUGUAUGCAGUUGUUAAAUCUUGACAGCGAAGAGAAGGGAUGGCUAGAAUUAUUUUAGCUGUUUAAAGGGCCAUAUGCUGUACUUGUAGGAACUAUGAUCUCAUAGGUUGAAUUAGACAGGAUAUCAUUUAAUGCAGUCUGAGACUCUUGGCAGAGAAGUGGAUGAAUAGAAUUGCUACUUGAAGAGAGAAAACACUCUGAGAGGAUUCAAGCCUAAAACUCCAGCUGAAUUUGAAUCUCCAGGUGGAAGUGAAUUGUGAAGGUGCCACUCUUCUCUGCUGGAAGUAUAUGCAUUGAGGCCAGCGUGUCUAGUAACUGUGUGUACUGAAUGCCUCGCGUUUGUCCCUACUGCACUUUUCAGUCUGUCACAAUCCUGGGUCGUCGGGGGACUGUACCGAGCGCCCUUGGAGUGCUCGCAGCAGGGAAGAAGGAGCGAGCAGGGAGGAGCUGAGGAGGGUCGGAGCGGAAUGGACACCCAGAGACUGAGAUGAGAGAGGGGCUAUAAGAAGAGAAACCAGUCGCAGGAAAACAGAACUCUCGACAAACGCACGCCCUCUUUGCGCUCUCCGUUUCUCUGGACCUGGAUGGAAUUGUUUUACUUUGCAUCGCCGGACUGCGCUGCGGACGGGGUGGGGCGGCCCAAUGGCCCCCCUGGGGUUACUCUGCUCCCCUUCACGCUUCCCUCCCGGCCCCGCCCCGCGA